AAGUCGAACGAGUUCUGGUUAAGAGUGGCGGUGCUUGCACCAAAGCAAUUAACAAUGGAACGAGUGGCGGACGGGUGAGUAACACGUGGGUAACCUACCCUAUAGCGGGGGAUAACAUUUGGAAACAGAUGCUAAUACCGCAUAACAACAACUAUCACAUGAUAGAUGUUUGAAAGAUGGCGAAAGCUAUCACUAAAGGAUGGACCUGCGGCGUAUUAGUUAGUUGGUAAGGUAACGGCUUACCAAGACGAUGAUACGUAGCCGACUUGAGAGAGUGAUCGGCCACAUUGGGACUGAGACACGGCCCAAACUCCUACGGGAGGCAGCAGUAGGGAAUCUUCCACAAUGGACGAAAGUCUGAUGGAGCAACGCCGCGUGAGUGAAGAAGGGUUUCGGCUCGUAAAACUCUGUUAUUGGAGAAGAAGGAUAAGGUAAGUAACUGUACUUUAUUUGACGGUAACCAACCAGAAAGUCACGGCUAACUACGUGCCAGCAGCCGCGGUAAUACGUAGGUGGCAAGCGUUAUCCGGAAUUAUUGGGCGUAAAGCGAGUGCAGGCGGUUGUAUAAGUCUGAUGUGAAAGCCCUCGGCUCAACCGAGGAAUUGCAUCAGAAACUGUAUAACUUGAGUGCAGAAGAGGAGAGUGGAACUCCAUGUGUAGCGGUGGAAUGCGUAGAUAUAUGGAAGAA
RNAcentral lists this ribosomal RNA (688 nucleotides) under Amylolactobacillus amylophilus. RNAcentral's name for it is "bacterial SSU rRNA". It matches the Rfam family "Bacterial small subunit ribosomal RNA", at positions 59 to 706 of the family's 1533-position model. The record is from RNAcentral. Lineage: Bacteria; Bacillati; Bacillota; Bacilli; Lactobacillales; Lactobacillaceae.